CCCACCCCCAACCCCCACCACCCCCAACCCCCCCCCCCUCCCACCCAGAGAUAACACUGUCAGCUUCUGACAAAGAAUCGUGCAGAUCGUUAACGUGGACCCCUAUAAACUCAUGUUACAGUCUUCUGUAAUUGUGAUUGUUUAGGAAAGUAAUAGGAACAUAUUUAUUGUCUGUAUAUAUUCUAAAUACAGCCGGAUAGUGACAAUGAUGACAAUAUAUUAAAUAAAAAUAUGAUUAAACAUUAUUUGAUGAUCUGUGAGACAACAGAUUUGAAUCUUUGUGAAUCCUUGCAUUUUUUUCUUUUUGUUUUGACUAUACCAGUUUAAAAUGAUUUGCGGUAAUUUAUUUUCGUCUGAAUUGUGUAUUUAUUUUGUAAAUUGUAUCAAGGUGCUGCUGACCUUCUAUAUUUUUGUACCAUAAUGCACUUUAGAUAUAUAAAUAUAAAAAAAUAUAAACCAGUAUGUUUUGUUAAGUGGCUUUUCUUUUUGUGGUCAAUUUUGAAAUGAAGAAUUAACAACGGUCGAUGUGUGUUAUCGAUUAAGGUUUGCGAUUUCAUUCGUUGGUGUCUUUUGUGUUUUGGUCUAUUGGCUUUGUGUUCUUGUUCCUGUCGCUGCUGUUUAGAGAAACUGUAGGUACCAUUUACCUUCGAUGCGGACCAAGCCCCUCUCACUGAGGUCAAAUGUCGUUUGUUUUUAUUUCCUUGGAAACCCUUGUUUUCGGUCGUGUUUCGUGUGCUUCGACUCGCCAACGUUCACUCUGUACAUAAACUGAACACAUAACUGCUUGAUGUUGUUGUUGUUUGGCCCCUGCACUGAGACAACACUCUAUAUUGAACCAAUUAAAACAUUUUGCCAGUA
Molecule: long non-coding RNA, 858 nt
Organism: Gadus morhua (Atlantic cod)
Lineage: Eukaryota; Metazoa; Chordata; Actinopteri; Gadiformes; Gadidae
Exons: 2
Source: RefSeq, a predicted model, not a curated record